AGCGAACGCUGGCGGCGUGCUUAACACAUGCAAGUCGAGCGAGAAAGUCCCGCAAGGGAUGAGUACAGCGGCGAACGGGUGCGUAACACGUGGGCCAUCUAUCCUUGAGACCGGAAUAACCCAGCGAAAGUUGGGCUAAUGCCGGAUAAGACCACGAGCAGACAUGUUUGCGGUCAAAGGGUGCUUCUACUCGGAGCAUUCACUCACGGAGGAGCCCGCGGCCAUCAGCUAGUUGGUAGGGUAACGGCCUACCAAGGCAAAGACGGGUAGCUGGUCUGAGAGGAUGACCAGCCACAC
RNAcentral lists this ribosomal RNA (297 nucleotides) under uncultured bacterium. Its description in RNAcentral is "partial 16S ribosomal RNA". It matches the Rfam family "Bacterial small subunit ribosomal RNA", at positions 29 to 313 of the family's 1533-position model. The record is from RNAcentral.